RNAcentral lists this ribosomal RNA (423 nucleotides) under uncultured bacterium. Its description in RNAcentral is "partial 16S ribosomal RNA". It matches the Rfam family "Bacterial small subunit ribosomal RNA", at positions 359 to 774 of the family's 1533-position model. The record is from RNAcentral.
GAAUAGUGGACAAUGGGCGAAAGCCUGAUCCAGCCAUGCCGCGUGUGUGAAGAAGGUCUUCGGAGUGUAAACCACUAUAAGUGGGGAGGAAGGGCAGGAAGCGAAUACCUUGCUGUUUUGACUUUACCGACAGAAAAAGCACCGGCUAACUCUGUCCCAGCAGCCGCGGUAAUACAGAGGGUGCAAGCGUUAAUCGGAAUUACUGGGCGUAAAGCGCGCGUAGGUGGUUCGUUAAGUUGGAUGUGAAAUCCCCGGGCUCAACCUGGGAACUGCAUCCAAAACUGGCGAGCUAGAGUAGGGCAGAGGGUGGUGGAAUUUCCUGUGUAGCGGUGAAAUGCGUAGAUAUAGGAAGGAACACCAGUGGCGAAGGCGACCACCUGGGCUAAUACUGACACUGAGGUGCGAAAGCGUGGGGAGCAAACA